RNAcentral lists this ribosomal RNA (532 nucleotides) under uncultured bacterium. RNAcentral describes it as "bacterial SSU rRNA". It matches the Rfam family "Bacterial small subunit ribosomal RNA", at positions 356 to 896 of the family's 1533-position model. The record is from RNAcentral.
GGGGAAUAUUGCACAAUGGGCGCAAGCCUGAUGCAGCGACGCCGCGUGGGGGAUGAAGGCCUUCGGGUUGUAAACUCCUUUCGCUAGGGACGAAGCUUUUUGUGACGGUACCUAGAUAAGAAGCACCGGCUAACCACGUGCCAGCAGCCGCGGUAAUACGUAGGGUGCGAGCGUUGUCCGGAAUUACUGGGCGUAAAGGGCUCGUAGGUGGUUUGUCGCGUCGUCUGUGAAAUUCUGGGGCUUAACUCCGGGCGUGCAGGCGAUACGGGCAUAACUUGAGUGCUGUAGGGGUAACUGGAAUUCCUGGUGUAGCGGUGAAAUGCGCAGAUAUCAGGAGGAACACCGAUGGCGAAGGCAGGUUACUGGGCAGUUACUGACGCUGAGGAGCGAAAGCAUGGGUAGCGAACAGGAUUAGAUACCCUGGUAGUCCAUGCCGUAAACGGUGGGCGCUAGGUGUGAGGGUCUUUCUACGACUUUCGUGCCGUAGCUAACGCAUUAAGCGCCCCGCCUGGGGAGUACGGCCGCAAGGCUA